Molecule: unclassified non-coding RNA, 404 nt
Filed under: soil metagenome
Description: partial contains 5.8S ribosomal RNA, internal transcribed spacer 2, and large subunit ribosomal RNA
Rfam family: 5.8S ribosomal RNA (bases 1-122)
Source: RNAcentral
GAUGAAGAACGCAGCAAAAUGCGAUACUUGGUGUGAAUUGCAGAAUCCCGUGAACCAUCGAGUUUUUGAACGCAAGUUGCGCCCGAAGCCUUUUGGCCGAGGGCACGUCUACCUGGGCGUCACGCAUCGCGUCGCCCCCCACAAUUCUCCGUAAAGGGAACGUGUGUUUUGGGGGCGGAUAUUGGUCUCCCGUGCUCAUGGCGUGGUUGGCCGAAAUAGGAGUCCUUUCGAUGGACGCACGAACUAGUGGUGGUCGUAAAAACCCUCGUCUUUUGUUUCGUGCUGUUGCUCGCAAGGUAAACUCUUUAAAAACCCCAAUGUGUCGUCUCUUGACGACGCUUCGACCGCGACCCCAGGUCAGGCGGGACUACCCGCUGAGUUUAAGCAUAUCAAUAAGCGGAGGA